RNAcentral lists this ribosomal RNA (676 nucleotides) under uncultured Pseudomonadota bacterium. RNAcentral's name for it is "bacterial SSU rRNA". It matches the Rfam family "Bacterial small subunit ribosomal RNA", at positions 74 to 746 of the family's 1533-position model. Lineage: Bacteria; Pseudomonadati; Pseudomonadota. The record is from RNAcentral.
AGGAGCUUGCUUCUCUGGAUGAGUUGCGAACGGGUGAGUAAUGUCUGGGAAGCUGCCUGAUGGAGGGGGAUAACUAUUGGAAACGGUAGCUAAUACCGCAUAAUGUCGCAAGACCAAAGAGGGGGACCUUCGGGCCUCUUGCCAUCGGAUGUGCCCAGAUGGGAUUAGCUUGUUGGUGGGGUAACGGCUCACCAAGGCGACGAUCCCUAGCUGGUCUGAGAGGAUGACCAGCCACACUGGAACUGAGACACGGUCCAGACUCCUACGGGAGGCAGCAGUGGGGAAUAUUGCACAAUGGGCGCAAGCCUGAUGCAGCCAUGCCGCGUGUAUGAAGAAGGCCUUCGGGUUGUAAAGUACUUUCAGCGGGGAGGAAGGGAGUAAAGUUAAUACCUUUGCUCAUUGACGUUACCCGCAGAAGAAGCACCGGCUAACUCCGUGCCAGCAGCCGCGGUAAUACGGAGGGUGCAAGCGUUAAUCGGAAUUACUGGGCGUAAAGCGCACGCAGGCGGUUUGUUAAGUCAGAUGUGAAUCCCCGGGCUCAACCUGGGAACUGCAUCUGAUACUGGCAAGCUUGAGUCUCGUAGAGGGGGGUAGAAUUCCAGGUGUAGCGGUGAAAUGCGUAGAGAUCUGGAGGAAUACCGGUGGCGAAGGCGGCCCCCUGGACGAAGACUGACGC